CCUACGGGUGGCAGCAGUGAGGAAUAUUGGUCAAUGGACGCAAGUCUGAACCAGCCAUGCCGCGUGCAGGAAGACGGCUCUAUGAGUUGUAAACUGCUUUUGUACGAGGGUAAACGCAGAUACGCGUAUCUGUUUGAAAGUAGCUUACGAAUAAGGAUCGGCUAACUCCGUGCCAGCAGCCGCGGUAAUACGGAGGAUUCAAGCGUUAUCCGGAUUUAUUGGGGUUAAAGGGUGCGUAGGCGGGCGGUUAAGUUAGAGGUGAAAUCCCGAGGCUCAACUUCGGAAUUGCCUUUGAUACUGGUCGGCUAGAGUGUAGUUGAGGUAGGCGGAAUGCAUGGUGUAGCGGUGAAAUGCAUAGAGAUCAUACAGAACACCGAUUGCGAAGGCAGCUUACCAAGCUACUUCUGACGUUGAGGCACGAAAGCGUGGGGAGCGAACAGGAUUAGAUACCCUAGUAGUC
This 460-nucleotide ribosomal RNA is filed under the name uncultured bacterium. RNAcentral describes it as "partial 16S ribosomal RNA". It matches the Rfam family "Bacterial small subunit ribosomal RNA", at positions 338 to 795 of the family's 1533-position model. The record is from RNAcentral.